This is a long non-coding RNA of Lathyrus oleraceus (garden pea), 659 nucleotides long. RefSeq lists it as uncharacterized. NCBI's taxonomy places the organism in Eukaryota, Viridiplantae, Streptophyta, Magnoliopsida, Fabales, Fabaceae. The transcript is spliced from 2 exons. The record is from RefSeq and is a predicted model, not a curated record.
AGUUUCAAUCUGAAACUUUGAAUAACUUAGGGCUUUCAAGCUUUGUGUGAGGUGUUUGGGAUUGAACUCGACAACAUUUUUGUAGGGUCUCCAAUCCUCUCUGAUUCGUUAUUUCCGCCUCCUUUUUAUAGGAGAAUUUCUUUUUAGGAUAAGAAUUGGUGAGCUGUAUUUUGAAGAUAGUACUAAAUCCGUUAGGGAUUUCUGCGCAUCCCUAAUUCUAUGGAAGUUGUUUUGAGUGGCGUUGCCACUACUUCUUGUUGGCGAGAAAUCUUGUUAAUCAUCACAUGGAGGCACACCCGAACGAAAGUGAAAUAUAGCAGAGGAAGACCAAAGAUGGACGCUUCCAUAUCAUAGCUCACUCUCUCCGCUUGAACCCUAUUAGCACGGUGUUGAUUAGGAUGUAGCAAGAUUAAAACAUUAGCUUGGCUUAUGAGAAAAACAUAUGUUCGUAAUCUUAAUCAUUGCUUGUAAUUUUGAUGGCAACAUGUGCCUUUGGACAUUUUUGGCUUUAACUUCUCCCUCCUGGAUGUUAGUUUUGGGCCUUCCUUAAAGUGAAUUUGGAAGUUGGGUAACAAACUUAGGCCAGAUCUUAUUUUCUGUGAAUUGUAAACUUAUUAUCCUAAUAAUGACCAAAUGGAUGAGUUAUAUUUAGAAACAAA